GGAAUUUGUUAUGAAUUGUAGUCAAUUCACUAUGAGGGGGGUAUUAGGAGCCUAUAAGACAGUGGAAAUAGCAUAACCCUUUUUUUUGGGAAAAUGAAUAAUUGGAAAAUAUUUUCCUCAUUAUGAUCUCUUAUAAAAAUAUAUUUUUUUAUUGUUUCCAAAAUGUUUAGACGUAAAUUGUUAGAGAUAAUUAAUUUUUUUGUUUGAUGAGCCUGUGUAGUAUUAGGUAAUUGGUCAAGUAAAGGUUGACUAAGCCAAUGAAGCUUAGUUGGUCUUUUGGGAUGAUUGGCCGCACUGGGAUUGAAACACUGCCCAGACUCCCCGAGAGUUAGCAGUGGAGAAUCUUGGAUAAUGGGCAAAAGCUUGAUCCAGCAAUAUUGCAUGAGUGAAGAAGGUCAAUGUCGCUUCUAAAGCUCUUUUGUCGAGUGUGUGAUCAUGAUAGAACUCAAGGAAGAAACCCUGGCUAACUCUGUGCCAGCAACGGCAGGAAGAUGAGGGGGAG
Molecule: non-coding RNA, 502 nt
Filed under: Eucalyptus grandis
Lineage: Eukaryota; Viridiplantae; Streptophyta; Magnoliopsida; Myrtales; Myrtaceae
Description: Bacterial small subunit ribosomal RNA
Rfam family: Bacterial small subunit ribosomal RNA
Source: Rfam by way of RNAcentral